GCCCCGGCGCCGCGGGUGCGCUGCGGAUGGGCUUGGGGCGCACCCAGCGAGCAGCGAGAGUCGCGGUGUCCCGGGCGCUCGCUGGCACCGUGGCCGCAGCGGCCGGCCUGGGAGCCAGGAGGGCGAGGCGGCUGCACCUUCGGGGCCAGAUUGGAGUUCGAAGAGUGGCGGGUACCCCAGAAGCUCGGGGCCGGGGCGAUGGCUGCAGCCUCGGGAGGGUAUCGCCGGAUCGAACUCCGGGAAAGGGAAGCAAAGGCAUGGAACCUCCGCACACUGGAUGAGAAUCCAUCUUCCAUUCGAGCUGGGAAUAGACUUUGUGAAAGAUAUUAUGUAAUGGAGUCUCGGGAACCCUGAGACCUCUCCAGCGAAGCUGAAGUGAAUUAAUUAAGUGCUUUAAACGGUCUUGGUGCUGUGUUACGGGAGAGAGUGACUGGAAAGUAACAAAGCUGAAUCUUUCUCCCUGGAGUAAGGCCGAAGACUGGAUUACUACACGCCUAGACGUGACACUACACCCAUAGAUCUCAUGCAUCAUUAAUGCCAUAUGACAUUGCCAUUUUCUUUCUCAGUUCACGGACAAAAGUGGUGGGUUUUCAUUGUCUUCACUGAUUGUCAAUGCAUUAAUA
This 623-nucleotide long non-coding RNA is filed under the name Homo sapiens (human). RNAcentral's name for it is "non-protein coding lnc-FEZ2-7:9". Lineage: Eukaryota; Metazoa; Chordata; Mammalia; Primates; Hominidae. The record is from RNAcentral.